GUCGAGAAUCUUCUGCAAUGGGCGCAAGCCUGACAGAGCGACGCCGCGUGGAGGACGAAGGCCCUCGGGUUGUAAACUCCUGUCACAUGUUAUGAACCGCACGGGUCCACCCGUGUCUGACAAAAGCAUGAGAGGAAGUCACGGCUAACUUCGUGCCAGCAGCCGCGGUAAGACGAAGGUGGCAAGCGUUAUUCGGAUUUACUGGGCAUAAAGCGCGCGUAGGCGGCUCGACAAGUCGGGGGUGAAAGCCUGCAGCUCAACUGCGGUGUGCCUUCGAAACUGUCGAGCUUGAGUGCAGGAGGGGUGAUUGGAACUCCAGGUGUAGCGGUGAAAUGCGUAGAUAUCUGGAGGAACACCAGAGGCGAAGGCGAAUCACUGGACUGCAACUGACGCUGAGGCGCGAAAGCUAGGGGAGCAAACAGGAUUAGAAACCCUGGUAGUCC
RNAcentral lists this ribosomal RNA (443 nucleotides) under uncultured bacterium. Its description in RNAcentral is "bacterial SSU rRNA". It matches the Rfam family "Bacterial small subunit ribosomal RNA", at positions 354 to 796 of the family's 1533-position model. The record is from RNAcentral.